Molecule: ribosomal RNA, 439 nt
Filed under: uncultured bacterium
Lineage: Bacteria
Description: bacterial SSU rRNA
Rfam family: Bacterial small subunit ribosomal RNA
Source: RNAcentral
UACGGGAGGCAGCAGUGGGGAAUAUUGCACAAUGGGCGCAAGCCUGAUGCAGCCAUGCCGCGUGUAUGAAGAAGGCCUUCGGGUUGUAAAGUACUUUCAGUCGUGAGGAAGGUGUUAAGGUUAAUAACCUUAGCAAUUGACGUUAGCGACAGAAGAAGCACCGGCUAACUCCGUGCCAGCAGCCGCGGUAAUACGGAGGGUGCGAGCGUUAAUCGGAGUUACUGGGCGUAAAGGGCACGCAGGCGGUUAAUUAAGUUGGAUGUGAAAUCCCCGGGCUUAACCUGGGAAUGGCAUUCAAGACUGGUUAGCUAGAGUCUUGUAGAGGGGGUAGAAUUCCAUGUGUAGCGGUGAAAUGCGUAGAGAUGUGGAGGAAUACCGGUGGCGAAGGCGGCCCCUGGACAAAGACUGACGCUCAUGUGCGAAAGCGUGGGGAGCAAAC